AACGAACGCUGGCGGCAGGCCUAACACAUGCAAGUCGAGCGCACCUUCGGGUGAACGGCGGACGGGUUAGUAACGCGUGGGAAUGUACCCUUCUCUACGGAAUAGCCAUUGGAAACGAUGAGUAAUACCGUAUACGCCCUUUUGGGGAAAGAUUUAUCGGAGAAGGAUCAGCCCGCGUUAGAUUAGAUAGUUGGUGGGGUAAUGGCCUACCAAGUCUACGAUCUAUAGCUGGUUUUAGAGGAUGAUCAGCAACACUGGGACUGAGACACGGCCCAGACUCCUACGGGAGGCAGCAGUGGGGAAUCUUAGACAAUGGGCGCAAGCCUGAUCUAGCCAUGCCGCGUGAGUGAUGAAGGCCUUAGGGUCGUAAAGCUCUUUCGCCAGGGAUGAUAAUGACAGUACCUGGUAAAGAAACCCCGGCUAACUCCGUGCCAGCAGCCGCGGUAAUACGGAGGGGGUUAGCGUUGUUCGGAAUUACUGGGCGUAAAGCGCACGUAGGCGGAUUAGAAAGUAUGGGGUGAAAUCCCAGGGCUCAACCCUGGAACUGCCUCAUAAACUCCUAGUCUAGAGUUCGAGAGAGGUGAGUGGAAUUCCGAGUGUAGAGGUGAAAUUCGUAGAUAUUCGGAGGAACACCAGUGGCGAAGGCGGCUCACUGGCUCGAUACUGACGCUGAGGUGCGAAAGUGUGGGGAGCAAACAGG
This 700-nucleotide ribosomal RNA is filed under the name uncultured bacterium. RNAcentral's name for it is "bacterial SSU rRNA". It matches the Rfam family "Bacterial small subunit ribosomal RNA", at positions 28 to 776 of the family's 1533-position model. The record is from RNAcentral.